CAAAAGUCGUGCACGCCGGAGCAUGUCCUCUCUCUCACAUAAAAUCCAUCUCACCCUUUUGUGCACCACCGCGCGGGCACCCUUUGGGAUGCUUGCGUUUUCACACAAACCCCUUUUUAAAAAGUGUAGAAUGACCCCACUUUGCGAUGACACGCAAUCAAUACAACUUUCAACAACGGAUCUCUUGGCUCUCGCAUCGAUGAAGAACGCAGCGAAAUGCGAUACGUAAUGUGAAUUGCAGAAUUCAGUGAAUCAUCGAAUCUUUGAACGCACCUUGCGCCCCUUGGUAUUCCGAGGGGCACACCCGUUUGAGUGUCGUGAAAAUCUCAACCUUCUCGGUUUUCUUCUGGACACCGAAGGAGGCUUGGACUUUGGAGGCCUUUGCUGGCGUCUCUCUAGAGCCAGCUCCUCUUAAAUGAAUUAGCGGGGUCCUCUUUGCCGAUCCUUGACAUGUGAUAAGAUGUUUCCAUGACUCGGUUUCUGGCUCUGUUGCAUUUGGGACCUGCUUCUAACCGUCUCGACGAGACGAUGUUUGGGAGUGUCUCCCUUCUCGGGAGACUCUCUCG
RNAcentral lists this ribosomal RNA (566 nucleotides) under Lactarius hatsudake. RNAcentral describes it as "eukaryotic LSU rRNA". The stretch from base 165 to 318 matches the Rfam family "5.8S ribosomal RNA". Lineage: Eukaryota; Fungi; Basidiomycota; Agaricomycetes; Russulales; Russulaceae. The record is from RNAcentral.